This 489-nucleotide ribosomal RNA is filed under the name uncultured Aquabacterium sp. RNAcentral's name for it is "bacterial SSU rRNA". It matches the Rfam family "Bacterial small subunit ribosomal RNA", at positions 9 to 491 of the family's 1533-position model. The record is from RNAcentral. Lineage: Bacteria; Pseudomonadati; Pseudomonadota; Betaproteobacteria; Burkholderiales; Sphaerotilaceae.
GAGUUUGAUCUGGCUCAGAUUGAACGCUGGCGGCAUGCCUUACACAUGCAAGUCGAACGGUAGCACGGGAGCUAAUCGGAUGCUGACGAGUGGCGAACGGGUGAGUAAUAUAUCGGAACGUGCCCAGUAGUGGGGGAUAGCCCGGCGAAAGCCGGAUUAAUACCGCAUACGACCUACGGGUGAAAGGGGGGGAUCGCAAGACCUCUCGCUAUUGGAGCGGCCGAUAUCAGAUUAGGUAGUUGGUGGGGUAAAGGCCUACCAAGCCUGCGAUCUGUAGUUGGUCUGAGAGGACGACCAGCCACACUGGGACUGAGACACGGCCCAGACUCCUACGGGAGGCAGCAGUGGGGAAUUUUGGACAAUGGGGGCAACCCUGAUCCAGCAAUGCCGCGUGCAGGAAGAAGGCCUUCGGGUUGUAAACUGCUUCUGUCAGGGAAGAAAUCCUCUGGGUUAAUACCUCGGGGGGAUGACGGUACCUGAAGAAUAAGC